Molecule: ribosomal RNA, 303 nt
Filed under: uncultured bacterium
Lineage: Bacteria
Description: bacterial SSU rRNA
Rfam family: Bacterial small subunit ribosomal RNA
Source: RNAcentral
UGGGGAAUAUUGCACAAUGGGGGGAACCCUGAUGCAGCGAUGCCGCGUGGAGGAAGAAGGUUUUCGGAUUGUAAACUCCUGUCUUAAAGGACGAAAAUGACGGUACUUUAGGAGGAAGCUCCGGCUAACUACGUGCCAGCAGCCGCGGUAAUACGUAGGGAGCGAGCGUUGUCCGGAAUUACUGGGUGUAAAGGGAGCGUAGGCGGGAUUUUAAGUCAGAUGUGAAAUACGUGGGCUCAACCUACGGGCUGCAUUUGAAACUGAAGUUCUUGAGUGAAGUAGAGGCAAGCGGAAUUCCUGGUG